Long non-coding RNA from Helianthus annuus (common sunflower), 211 nucleotides. RefSeq lists it as uncharacterized. The record is from RefSeq and is a predicted model, not a curated record. NCBI's taxonomy places the organism in Eukaryota, Viridiplantae, Streptophyta, Magnoliopsida, Asterales, Asteraceae. The transcript has 3 exons.
UGUUAUGGUCGGACAAGAAGAUGGAGUUAUUGAUGUACUCAUUCUACUUAUUCGUUCUCAACAUGAUGCUGUCAGGCAAGAAGCAGCUACUGCAUUUUGGCAUUUAUCGAAUGAUGCCAGAAACCGAGAACGGAUUGCGUUACAUGGCGGUGUUGAAGCCUUGGAGAGAGCAGUUGGUGCUCUAUGGGGACUUUCGGUUUCAGAAGCCAAU